RNAcentral lists this ribosomal RNA (324 nucleotides) under uncultured eukaryote. Its description in RNAcentral is "partial 18S ribosomal RNA". It matches the Rfam family "Eukaryotic small subunit ribosomal RNA", at positions 1470 to 1796 of the family's 1831-position model. The record is from RNAcentral.
CCCUUAGAUGUUCUGGGCUGCACGCGCGCUACACUGAAGCUAUCAACACGUUUUCCCUCCCUGAGAAGGGCGGGUAACCUUUUGAAUCAGCUUCGUGGUAGGGAUCGGGGCUUGCAAUUGUUCCCCGUGAACCAGGAAUUCCUAGUAGACGCGAGUCAUAAGCUCGCAUCGAUUAAGUCCCGGCCCUUUGUACACACCGCCCGUCGCUACUACCGAUUGAACGUUUUAGUGAGGCAUUUGGACCGACGCAUCUCAGUUUAACCGCUGGUUUGUGUUGGAAAGACUUCCAAACUUGAGCGUUUAGAGGAAGUAAAAGUCGUAACA